AGCGAACGCUGGCGGCAGGCUUAACACAUGCAAGUCGAGCGGGCGUAGCAAUACGUCAGCGGCAGACGGGUGAGUAACGCGUGGGAACAUACCUUUUGGUUCGGAACAACACAGGGAAACUUGUGCUAAUACCGGAUAAGCCCUUACGGGGAAAGAUUUAUCGCCGAAAGAUUGGCCCGCGUCUGAUUAGCUAGUUGGUGAGGUAAUGGCUCACCAAGGCGACGAUCAGUAGCUGGUCUGAGAGGAUGAUCAGCCACAUUGGGACUGAGACACGGCCCAAACUCCUACGGGAGGCAGCAGUGGGGAAUAUUGGACAAUGGGGGCAACCCUGAUCCAGCCAUGCCACGUGAGUGAUGAAGGCCCUAGGGUUGUAAAGCUCUUUUGUGCGGGAAGAUAAUGACGGUACCGCAAGAAUAAGCCCCGGCUAACUUCGUG
Molecule: ribosomal RNA, 435 nt
Filed under: uncultured bacterium
Lineage: Bacteria
Description: bacterial SSU rRNA
Rfam family: Bacterial small subunit ribosomal RNA
Source: RNAcentral